Molecule: long non-coding RNA, 390 nt
Filed under: Elaeis guineensis (African oil palm)
Lineage: Eukaryota; Viridiplantae; Streptophyta; Magnoliopsida; Arecales; Arecaceae
Description: long non-coding RNA (EGUI_LNC005197)
Source: RNAcentral
CUCCGUCUCAACACUUGGGACAGAUGAUGUCCCAAGAUGUCCCAAUUGAAAUACUAAAUCGCUAACGAAACGAUCUUGUCUCAACAUAUAAGAUAGUACUCCGUCUUGAUAUCUCGCGGGAUGUCCUACGAAAACAUGAAUCCUCGUUGUACACUGAGUCCGAUCCUUAAACUUCUUUGCUACCCAUUUUGAUGGCACCCUUCGGUCAAUGCUAUGCACCAAAACAAGGAUGUUCUCCCACUGCUUCUACGCCACCGCCAUGUCCUUCUUGAGAACUCGAGGACCUUCGUGAAGUACCACCGAAGUUCCCCCAACUCCACUAGUGAGAUCUUGCACUCCAUCUAUCGAGACUAGCGUGGCAGCCUCUGCAUUGCUUGAGCCCAUGUCCUU